GCUUGGUCCCUGUGUUCGGUGGGCAGUUGCAGGCGUACUGUCUAGGAGAUGGCUGCUCCACUUUUUCACCCUGCUCUAGGAGGAGGAGGUGGAUGUGGAGUAGGAGGUUGAGGAGGCAGUGACCACAGGUAACGGGGAAUCAGGGUUCAAUUCUGGAGAGGGAGCCUGAGAAAUGGCUACCACAUCCAAGGAAGGCAGCAGGCGCGCAAAUUACCCACUCCCGACGCGGGGAGGUAG
This is a non-coding RNA of Pelobates cultripes (western spadefoot toad), 237 nucleotides long. Lineage: Eukaryota; Metazoa; Chordata; Amphibia; Anura; Pelobatidae. The record is from the annotation of a GenBank genome assembly.